This is a long non-coding RNA of Lutra lutra (Eurasian river otter), 387 nucleotides long. RefSeq lists it as uncharacterized. The record is from RefSeq and is a predicted model, not a curated record. Lineage: Eukaryota; Metazoa; Chordata; Mammalia; Carnivora; Mustelidae. The transcript has 3 exons.
AGCAUCUUCCCUCUGGAAGGAGCCAGGCAGGCUCUUCAUUUGAGCUUUUCUCUCCCCAAGGAAGGAAGGGAGGAAGAAAAAGGAAGGGCCAUGGAGUUUGGGCACCUAGGCUGGAGAACAUCAGGGUCAGCGGAGGCCUCCCCAGCCCGCAAGUCACGGUAGCAGAAAUGCUGAGCUGGACUGAAACUGUAAGGAAAGCCCUAUGCGGGUACAGAACUGUACAGUUUGCAAAGAAAUAUAUUGGCUCUGAAGUAUUUAUAAAGCCCUUUCCAUUCACAAACUCCCACUGCCCCUUGCAGCUGCAGUCAGAUGCAUCUAUAACGGUGAGAAGCAGAGAAGAAAGGAAGGCAAGAGCACAGGAAAGAAAGGAAGAAGAGAGGAAGAAAG